This is a long non-coding RNA of Xiphophorus couchianus (Monterrey platyfish), 1215 nucleotides long. RefSeq lists it as uncharacterized. Lineage: Eukaryota; Metazoa; Chordata; Actinopteri; Cyprinodontiformes; Poeciliidae. The transcript is spliced from 4 exons. The record is from RefSeq and is a predicted model, not a curated record.
UUCAGCAGAUGUUCAAGCAAACAGUGCAGCUGACAAGUUUAUCUUGGAGCUCUUUGUGCAUUUCUCCCAGUACCGUUGCAUGUGACGUGUGUGUUUAUCUGUGCUUGUUCUGCUUGCAUAGACUCCGUCAUGGUUGAGUGGCCCCAUCAGCUCCUGGCGACCCACAGACUGAUACAGUGGGCUGUGACUCAUUUUGUGCACGGAUUCCUGUUUGUACUUUAUUUGUGAGGACCAUAAAGAAAUUGCUCCAGCUAGCUAACACAGAUUAUCGACCGCCCCAUGCCACUGGUGAUUCAACAUACCCUUCCAAAGCUUCCAGGAUUUGACAGACUCUCCUUAUGCUCACAUAUUUCUUCUGUCCGCCAAGCCCUUGAUGGAUUUCUCCUGCUCUUCCAAUAACUGGACCACGACUCACACUCUGCAUCACGACCUCCGAGUCUCGCCUUCGCCUGUUUGACAAGUACCACUCUGUCUGUCUUCUUGUCUUCCUGCGUUUGUCCUCUGCCUGAUUAUUGACUACAUCCUUAAGAUGCUGGAUCUGUAUGUAGUGCCCUUUUUAGUUUAUUAAAACAAAGUGUAACUUUGACUUAAAAUAUGCAAUGUUUAUGAUUUUACACACUGCAAGAAAAGAGGGAUUUUCGACAGCUAUUGACACCUAGCGCUGCAGUGCGCUUAGAAAUUGAGGGCUAUUGGCAAUGUGAUUUUGUUAUUUAUUUAUAAUGCACAAAAAUGUUUUCCAGCUGCGUCAAGGACCUACUGCCAGUCAUCCAGAUGUUGGUCAAGAAAGAGGCAUGUGGUGUUGCUCAUCCUGGCAGUACAUAUGUUUUUCUGUGUGACGAAGGAACCACAUCCUGUCGCUGACUUGGACACAAAAGCUGUAGAUGGCUGAACAAAGAUGGACUGUGGUGAGGUAGAGACCCCAAGUUCCCCCAGCCAAGGGCUCAGUGACCUCAGGUCUACACUACAGGAGAGACAUUGGACCUUUCCUGAAAGCAGCGCAAUGUUGGAUAAUGUUUGGACAAAAAAACACUGCCAAAUGGUCCAGAAGUGAACAAGCAUUUAUGUCUUAUUUUGUGUGGAAACUUUGAAAAAUAAAAUGAAAUAAAGAAAAAAAAGUUAUGUGCCUCAUUAAUGUUCCUCAUAUAUGAACAUGUUGCAUAAAAGCAAUAUCAUAUGAAUAUAUUUUAAUGCAGCAUGUAAUUUUAUAUAGAAUUU